GAUGAACGCUAGCGGGAGGCUUAACACAUGCAAGUCGAGGGGCAGCAUAGGGUAGCAAUACUCUGAUGGCGACCGGCAAACGGGUGAGUAACGCGUAUGCAACCUACCCUGUACAGGGGGAUAACCCGGAGAAAUUCGGACUAAUAUCCCGUAAUAAUAUCCGGAGGCAUCUUUGGAUAUUUAAAGUUCCGACGGUACGGGAUGGGCAUGCGUAACAUUAGCUGGUUGGUAAGGUAACGGCUUACCAAGGCUAUGAUGUUUAGGGGUCCUGAGAGGGUGGUCCCCCACACUGGUACUGAGACACGGACCAGACUCCUACGGGAGGCAGCAGUGAGGAAUAUUGGUCAAUGGGCGCAAGCCUGAACCAGCCAUCCCGCGUGCAGGAAGACGGCCCUAUGGGUUGUAAACUGCUUUUCCAGGGAGAGAAACUUACGCACGUGUUGCGUGACUGACGGUACCCUGGGAAUAAGCACGGCUACUACGUCGCACGCAGCGCCGGUAAGUAACUAGUACG
This 514-nucleotide ribosomal RNA is filed under the name uncultured bacterium. RNAcentral's name for it is "bacterial SSU rRNA". It matches the Rfam family "Bacterial small subunit ribosomal RNA", at positions 28 to 536 of the family's 1533-position model. The record is from RNAcentral.